Molecule: non-coding RNA, 2111 nt
Organism: Paramisgurnus dabryanus
Lineage: Eukaryota; Metazoa; Chordata; Actinopteri; Cypriniformes; Cobitidae
Source: RefSeq, a predicted model, not a curated record
AUAAAAUUACCCGAAAGUGUUGUCAUUGUUAAAUAAAUUACGAAUGUGCGUCUUUGCGUCAAGGUCAUGAUUCUACAUAACAACAUCCGCUUGACCUCGCAAUGCCAAGAAGAAGAAAGGCGUGGAACAUUUGCUUAAGCCUGUCAAGAUCUUCAGCAGAUGUUUGAGCAAAAAGUCAUCAUCCUCUUCGUCACUCUUCAUCCGUAUUUGGGGUAACAAGCACCUGCUUCCCACAAGAGACUGGACAGCUGAUGUCAGACCUGCACCUUCCUUGAACAUGUUGGUAUCUUACUCUGUAUUUGUUCAAGGUGGUCACCCCAGGGUCUCAGGACUCAAAUUGAGUGCUCUAUGGAUUAAACAGAAAAUGCAGUAUAAACAAGUGUUAUGUUGUCUUCAACAUGUUGGUAACUUACUCUGUAUUUGUUCACGGUGGUCACCCCAGGGUCUCAGGACUCAAAACGAGUGCUCUAUGGAUUGAACAUAAAAUGUAGUAUAAACAAGUGUUAUGUUUUUAAAUGCCACUAAUAAUGUGUUUCUGUUUUCUUUCUCAUUAUGCUAACAAACACUCUUUUACCCCUCAUGUUAGGUAGAUCAACACUCCAACCAUCUGCAUUAGGGACUGAAUAAAGGAUGCCCUCUGUAGCUGGGAAUGUUAGAUCAGGCGGAUCAACAUUCCAUCCAUCUGCAUUAGGAUCUACCUUAGAGACACUCACUGGAGCUGUAAAUGGGAAGCAGGUCACUUACUUUGCAUUCGUCCUUGGUGGUCACCCAAGGGUCUCUAGAGUGAAAAUUACUCAAUCUAUGGAUUAAACAGAAAAUUUAGUUGUAUGAAGUGCAAUUUGGGACAUUCUUCCAGUUGUCGGCAACUUUGUGAAAAAGGCUGGAAACUUAAAUGCAGAAUUCUGGCCUGGUGUUUGGUCUGUGCUGUCUUUGGCUCUUGCAUCUCCAUCAUCCUGACCCUCUUUAGCAGCCUGUCCAUGUAUUUAUUUGGAGGCCACCAUGAGCACCCAUCUGCAUAAUAUGACUUUGUUACUCAGAUGUCCAUGCGCUCCUACAAAUUCUACAUUUUUUGUAAAGCUGCAACAAGUUGAAACCCUAUAAUUAUUAACGUUUGAUUUUGAACUAUGUAAUUCAAAUACAUGAAUAAGUAACAAAAGCAGAAAUUUAUUAAGAUAUUACCUUUUUGUUGCUUGUUUACUGAUCUAUCAAUCCUUUUGCAUUUUCAUAAUUGUUCAUCAUAACUUGGUAUACAGUGGAUGUGUGGCUGCAGAUAACUUUCUGAAGUCAAUUUAAAAAGACAAAAGUUAAUAAAUGCUGAAUUGGUCAAAUAUACAUUGUUGUAUUUUCACCAUUUUGAUGUUUAGGCAUUUCAUAACUUGAGGGUUAAUUCACGUAUAGUGAUGUUUCAAAUCAAAGAUUAAUUUAUUAAUGACAGCUAAUCAUUUUAUAAAGAUUUUUAUUACAAUAUUUAUUUAAUAUCAAUUUAAUACAUUUAAUUCGUUACACCUACAUUACUGAGCGCAAGGGAGUGCAGCCAACAAAUACAUUCAGGUGUGUUCGACUUAACACCGAGAUGCGCAGACAGCACGUGGUAUGACAUCAAAGUACCGCGAGAGUUUGGGAAAGCCCCGGAAAAGGUUUGAUCUCGCGGUACUUGAUGUCACGAUCGGUUUGCGUGUAGAUCAGCAUGAAGUAGAACACAUCUGAAAGAUGUGUGGGCUGCCUGUACUCAACGUUGCGAUAAUUCAGUAGAGUGUAACCUCAAUCGGGUUUUGCAGCUUCUGGGUGUCGUGUCGAACGAUCGCAGAACGAUUUUUUGUUCUUUUCCAACUCGAUUUUUAACUCCCUAGACUAGUAGGAUGUUCCAACGGGUGAAGCAACAGUGCUGACGGCAGAGUUUCAGUGUCAAUUUUUCAUGCCAUGAUCACUGGGGCGGAAACCAUUAUGACGUUGCCUUGGACAUCAAACUAAACCAUCUCAUUCUGGCUUUUUUCUAACAUCGAAAUCUCAGAAGGCCAGGACUAAGAUGGACGCAGCCUCCACAUGCAACCUUGCAUUUGAGGAACACCCAUAGAACGGUCAACUUACCCCAUACUCUAACCUGAAUGCAG